AGCAGCCGCGGUAAUUCCAGCUCCAAUAGCGUAUAUUAAAGUUGUUGCAGUUAAAAAGCUCGUAGUUGAACUUCAGGCCUGUCCAGAUGGUCCGCCUUAAUUGGUGUGUACUGUCCUUGGGUGGGUCCUACCUUCUGGCGAAGCGGCAUGGCCUUAGUUGGUUGUGUUGGGGAAGCAGGACUUUUACUGUGAAAAAAUUAGAGUGUUCAAAGCAGGCAUAUAUGCUCGAAUACAUUAGCAUGGAAUAAUGGAAUAGGACGAUGGUUCUAUUUUGUUGGUUCUAGGACCGUUGUAAUGAUUAAUAGGGAUAGUUGGGGGCAUUAGUAUUCAAUUGUCAGAGGUGAAAUUCUUGGAUUUAUUGAAGACUAACUACUGCGAAAGCAUUUGCCAAGGAUGUUUUCAUUAAUCAAGAACGAAAGUUAGGGGAUCGAAGACGAUCAGAUACCGUCGUAGUCUUAACCAUAAACUAUGCCGACUAGGAAUCGGGCGAUGUUGACAAAAUGACUCGCUCGGCACCUCAUG
This 522-nucleotide ribosomal RNA is filed under the name uncultured Paraglomeraceae. RNAcentral's name for it is "SSU rRNA". It matches the Rfam family "Eukaryotic small subunit ribosomal RNA", at positions 569 to 1092 of the family's 1831-position model. The record is from RNAcentral. Lineage: Eukaryota; Fungi; Glomeromycota; Glomeromycetes; Paraglomerales.